This 497-nucleotide ribosomal RNA is filed under the name uncultured bacterium. Its description in RNAcentral is "partial 16S ribosomal RNA". It matches the Rfam family "Bacterial small subunit ribosomal RNA", at positions 28 to 507 of the family's 1533-position model. The record is from RNAcentral.
GACGAACGCUGGCGGCGUGCCUAAUACAUGCAAGUUGAGCGCUGAAGGUUGGUACUUGUACCAACUGGAUGAGCAGCGAACGGGUGAGUAACGCGUGGGGAAUCUGCCUUUGAGCGGGGGACAACAUUUGGAAACGAAUGCUAAUACCGCAUAAAAACUUUAAACACAAGUUUUAAGUUUGAAAGAUGCAAUUGCAUCACUCAAAGAUGAUCCCGCGUUGUAUUAGCUAGUUGGUGAGGUAAAGGCUCACCAAGGCGAUGAUACAUAGCCGACCUGAGAGGGUGAUCGGCCACAUUGGGACUGAGACACGGCCCAAACUCCUACGGGAGGCAGCAGUAGGGAAUCUUCGGCAAUGGACGAAAGUCUGACCGAGCAACGCCGCGUGAGUGAGGAAGGUUUUCGAAUCGUAAAACUCUGUUGGUAGAGAAGGACGUUGGUGAGAGUGGAAAGCUCAUCAAGUGACGGUAACUACCCAGAAAGGGACGGCUAACUACGUG